This 368-nucleotide long non-coding RNA is filed under the name Setaria italica (foxtail millet). RNAcentral describes it as "long non-coding RNA (SITA_LNC000765)". The record is from RNAcentral. Lineage: Eukaryota; Viridiplantae; Streptophyta; Magnoliopsida; Poales; Poaceae.
CCGCGGUGCGGAAAUGGACGAUGUUGGCGGCGGUUUGCGGAAAUGGACGAUGUUGGCGGCGGUUUGAUGGACGAUGGCUGCGGUGAAGCGCCCUCUCCUUGCCGCGGUGGAGCGAUGGAUGAUGUUUGUUGAUCUGGGCAGAGAAGCAAUUGAGGAGUGCCGCCGGCGAUGUUGGGAACGCGAUACACUAUUUCAGUGGAGAAGAAAUCGCGGCGUGAGUUGGGUAAUUCCUGACGGUCGAUCCAAGGGUCAAGGCUUCCGGAUGGCAGGACGAAGGGUUAUGCGGAUUGUUCGGAGGCGAGGGUGGGCAUGGAGAGGCGGACGUUCGAUCUAAGGGCUGAUAGCUCCUGUUGGCAGGAGGACCAACG